GSGACCCCAGGUCARGCGGGACUACCCGCUGAGUUUAAGCAUAUCAAUAA
RNAcentral lists this ribosomal RNA (50 nucleotides) under Scaevola albida. RNAcentral's name for it is "partial 25S ribosomal RNA". The record is from RNAcentral. Lineage: Eukaryota; Viridiplantae; Streptophyta; Magnoliopsida; Asterales; Goodeniaceae.